RNAcentral lists this ribosomal RNA (499 nucleotides) under uncultured bacterium. RNAcentral describes it as "partial 16S ribosomal RNA". It matches the Rfam family "Bacterial small subunit ribosomal RNA", at positions 28 to 507 of the family's 1533-position model. The record is from RNAcentral.
GACGAACGCUGGCGGCGUGCCUAAUACAUGCAAGUCGAGCGAAUCUGAUCGGAUCUUGCUCCUUGAUGAUUAGCGGCGGACGGGUGAGUAACACGUGGGUAACCCGCCUGUAAGACUUGGAUAACUCCGGGAAACCGGGGCGAAAACCGUAUGACUUUUUUCUUUGCAUGCGGGCUGAUUGAAAGAUGGCUUCGGCUAUCACUUACAUAUGGACCCGCGGCGCAUUUGCUUGUUGAUGAGGUAACGGCUCACCAAGGCGACGAUGCGUAGACGACUCGAGAGGGGGAUCGGCCAAACCGGGACGGGAACACGGACCAGAAUACUGCGGGAGGCAGCAGUAGGGAAUCUUCCGCAAUGGACGAAAGUCUGACGGAGCAACGCCGCGUGAGUGAUGAAGGUUGUCGGAUCGUAAAACUCUGUUGUUAGGGAAGAACAAGUAUCGUUCGAAUAGGGCGGUACCUUGACGGUACCUAACCAGAAAGCCACGGCUAACUACGUG